ACGCUCGACACCUACGUGAGGCAGCAGUCGGGAAUAUUGCGCAAUGGAGGAAACUCUGACGCAGUGACGCCGCGUAUAGGAAGAAGGUUUUCGGAUUGUAAACUAUUGUCGUUAGGGAAGAAAAAGGACAGUACCUAAGGAGGAAGCUCCGGCUAACUACGUGCAGCAGCCGCGGUAAUCUGAGCGGGCUGGCAAGGC
This 198-nucleotide ribosomal RNA is filed under the name uncultured bacterium. RNAcentral describes it as "partial 16S ribosomal RNA". It matches the Rfam family "Bacterial small subunit ribosomal RNA", at positions 328 to 539 of the family's 1533-position model. The record is from RNAcentral.